This 321-nucleotide unclassified non-coding RNA is filed under the name Hevea brasiliensis (rubber tree). The record is from RNAcentral. Lineage: Eukaryota; Viridiplantae; Streptophyta; Magnoliopsida; Malpighiales; Euphorbiaceae.
UUCGAUCUCUCUCUCUCUCUCUCUUUACGUACUCUGAUUGCUAAGGGUAAUAAGUUUUCCUUCUCUGUUUAUCGCUUAAUUCCAGAGUUUCUUUGAUGUUGUUUCACUCUUUAAUUAUUCGGUUUUUGUUUCUUAUUUAUUAAUAUGUUUUCGCUUUCUAUUCUGUUGCUCCUUAAUUGGCAGCCUGCUGUUUAUUUUCAAAAGGAAAUUGUUUCGGUUUUCAUUUCUCUCAUUUGAUCCAAAAAAUCAGUGGUCACAUCCCAAGGAAAAAAAAAAAAAAAUCAGCAAAUUGAAGUUAAUCUAUUGCAUUAGAGAAGGUAA